Long non-coding RNA from Lytechinus variegatus (green sea urchin), 882 nucleotides. RefSeq lists it as uncharacterized. The record is from RefSeq and is a predicted model, not a curated record. Lineage: Eukaryota; Metazoa; Echinodermata; Echinoidea; Temnopleuroida; Toxopneustidae. The transcript is spliced from 5 exons.
AGACAGCCAAUCAGCCGUCAUAAAAGUUUGUACGCAAACUUUUGAUAUCCAAAAUGGAGAGUGCCAAGGAAUUGCUUUGCGAUUGAGGGUUCGAGUCACGUCAGCCGUCAAAAUUUUGAGGAGGCCUAUGGAGCUGAGUGAGGAUGAGGAUCCAGUUUUGCAAGAUAAAACGACACCAAAACCAAGAAAGAGGGUCAGAUGCCCCUAUGAAUUUGAUGUUGAAAGGUAGAAACGGAAGGGGCUUGCUGGAGGCAUUAACUCGAGGAUGGGUUCUAAACAACAGCGAGAGAUUCAACUCAAAAUUCUAAACAACAGCGAGAGAUUCAACUCAAAAUUCAACUCAACUGAGUGUUGGUUAGCCAUCUAAUUGAAGAGCAUUGAUGGAACCCACCAUCACAAGUGAAGGAAAGCCUUGCGCACAGCCUUGUGGAUCAAUUCAAAAUUUUGAAGGACAUCAACGGAAUCACAGGGUAUGAAGGAACAUCCAUUGAAUAUUAUUUGGCCUAUCUUGAUGCAAAGGAUCAACCACAGCCUUUCUUGUUGAUCCUUGGAGGCACCCGGUGGAAACCGAGCCAGGUUUUGUCAUUGUCGAGCGUAACACCGUCCAGUGUACAUGUACUUCCAUCAUGCAAGCUAUAGACGUCUGCUUUAAGUUAACCUAUGUGCUGGAUGUUGACUACCACACCCAGUGUUCUCCUGCAUGGCAAAUAUGCUCCAGCAAUUGGUGUAUGAAUUGCCUCCCGGUGCUUUGAGUGGUGUUGUCCUGCUCAGCUUUUGAACUUUGCUGGGCAACAUCAAGAAGGAAUUUUAGUCUGAAUAGGCAGCAUUCAGUACUAAGGAAGCAAGUAACAGUAGUUUUGUAUUAAAUAGGCGAUUUCUCUU